RNAcentral lists this ribosomal RNA (455 nucleotides) under uncultured bacterium. RNAcentral's name for it is "partial 16S ribosomal RNA". It matches the Rfam family "Bacterial small subunit ribosomal RNA", at positions 29 to 523 of the family's 1533-position model. The record is from RNAcentral.
AACGAACGCUGGCGGCAUGCUUAAUACAUGCAAGUUGAACGAAGAGUGCUUGCACUCUUAGUGGCAAACGGGUGAGUAACACGUGGGAAUCUGCCUUUUGGAGGGGAACAACUGAGGGAAACUUCUGCUAAUACCGCAUAGCCUUGGAAACAAGUAAAGAUUUAUCGCCAAAAGAUGAGCCCGCGCCGGAUUAGGUAGUUGGUAGGGUAAUGGCUUACCAAGCCUGUGAUCCGUAGCUGGUCUGAGAGGAUGAUCAGCCACACUGGGAUUGAGAUACGGCCCAGACUCCUACGGGAGGCAGCAGUAAGGAAUAUUGGACAACGGGGGAAACCCUGAUCCAGCAAUGCCGCGUGAAUGAAGAAGGCCUUCGGGUUGUAAAGUUCUCUCGCUUACGAGGAUAGUGACAGUAGUAAGAUAAGAAGGUCCGGCUAACUCUGUGCCAGCCGCCGCGGUAA